AGUGAACGCUGGCGGCAGGCCUAACACAUGCAAGUCGAGCGGCAGCGGGUUCCCGCGAGGGGAUGCCGGCGAGCGGCGGACGGGUGAGGGACACAUCGGAAUCUGCCUGGUUGUGGGGGAUAACGUAGGGAAACUUACGCUAAUACCGCAUGAGACCCUGAGUCGACGGACUGGGGGUGAAAGUGAGGGACCUUCGGGCCUCACGCGACCAGAUGAGCCGAUGUCGGAUUAGCUAGUUGGCGGGGUAACGGCCCGCCAAGGCGACGAUCCGUAGCUGGUCUGAGAGGAUGAUCAGCCACACUGGGACUGAGACACGGCCCAGACUCCUACGGGA
RNAcentral lists this ribosomal RNA (334 nucleotides) under uncultured bacterium. RNAcentral's name for it is "bacterial SSU rRNA". It matches the Rfam family "Bacterial small subunit ribosomal RNA", at positions 30 to 346 of the family's 1533-position model. The record is from RNAcentral.